Molecule: long non-coding RNA, 217 nt
Organism: Populus euphratica (Euphrates poplar)
Lineage: Eukaryota; Viridiplantae; Streptophyta; Magnoliopsida; Malpighiales; Salicaceae
Exons: 3
Source: RefSeq, a predicted model, not a curated record
UCCUCUAAAACUCAAGAAGACAUCAUAGGCCCCUUCUGGUCUAGAUCGAGAAGACUCUGGCUCUGUCAUGGCAGCUCAAUAUAACGAAGAGUUAGCUAUGAAAUUCCAAAGCUAUGAUAUUGAAAUGAGGUUAAUUGUAUUCUUUAUAUAGGAGAAGGAGAAAGGAUAUGCUUUGUAUUCAUUUGCAGGAGAGAGCACCACAAAUUUCGAGUCAAAG